RNAcentral lists this ribosomal RNA (253 nucleotides) under uncultured bacterium. Its description in RNAcentral is "partial 16S ribosomal RNA". It matches the Rfam family "Bacterial small subunit ribosomal RNA", at positions 524 to 776 of the family's 1533-position model. The record is from RNAcentral.
UACGUAGGGUCCGAGCGUUGUCCGGAAUUAUUGGGCGUAAAGGGCUCGUAGGCGGUUUGUCGCGUCGGGAGUGAAAACGCCGGGCUUAACUCGGUGCUUGCUUUCGAUACGGGCAGACUUGAGGCAUGCAGGGGAGAACGGAAUUCCUGGUGUAGCGGUGAAAUGCGCAGAUAUCAGGAGGAACACCGGUGGCGAAGGCGGUUCUCUGGGCAUGUUCUGACGCUGAGGAGCGAAAGUGUGGGGAGCGAACAGG